GAUGAACGCUGGCGGCGUGCCUAAUACAUGCAAGUCGAGCGAACGGACGAGAAGUUUGCUUUUCUGAUGUUAGCGGCGGACGGGUGAGUAACACGUGGAUAACAUACCUAUAAGAAGGGGAUAACUUCGGGAAACCGGAGCUCAUACCGGAUAAUAUUUUGCACUGCAUGGUUCAAAAGUGAAAGACGGUCUUGCUGUCACUUAUAGAUGGAUCCGCGCUGCAUUAGAUAGUUGGUAAGGUAACGGCUUACCAAGGCAAGGCUGGAUAACCGCCCUGAACGGGUGAUCGGCCACACGGGAACUGAGACACGUUCCAGACUCCUACGGGAGGCAGCAGUAGGGAAUCUUCCGCAAUGGGCGAAAGCCUGACGGAGCAACGCCGCGGGAGUGAUGAAGGUCUUCGGAUCGUAAAGCUCUGUUAUUAGUGAAGAACAUAUGUGUAAGUAACUGUGCACAUCUUGACGGUACCUAAUCAGAAAGCCCCGGCUAACUACGUG
RNAcentral lists this ribosomal RNA (497 nucleotides) under uncultured bacterium. RNAcentral describes it as "partial 16S ribosomal RNA". It matches the Rfam family "Bacterial small subunit ribosomal RNA", at positions 28 to 507 of the family's 1533-position model. The record is from RNAcentral.